CACGUAGGGCGCAAGCGUUGUCCGGAAUUAUUGGGCGUAAAGAGCGUGUAGGCGGCCAGGUAGGUCCGUUGUGAAAACUCGAGGCUCAACCUCGAGACGCCGAUGGAAACCAUCUGGCUAGAGUCCGGAAGAGGAGAGUGGAAUUCCCGGUGUAGCGGUGAAAUGCGCAGAUAUCGGGAAGAACACCCGUGGCUAAGGCGGCUCUCUAGUACGGUACUGACGCUGAGACGCGAAAGCGUGGGGAGCGAACAGG
Molecule: ribosomal RNA, 253 nt
Filed under: uncultured bacterium
Lineage: Bacteria
Description: partial 16S ribosomal RNA
Rfam family: Bacterial small subunit ribosomal RNA
Source: RNAcentral